Molecule: ribosomal RNA, 750 nt
Filed under: uncultured Pyronemataceae
Lineage: Eukaryota; Fungi; Ascomycota; Pezizomycetes; Pezizales; Pyronemataceae
Description: eukaryotic LSU rRNA
Rfam family: Eukaryotic large subunit ribosomal RNA (bases 504-750)
Source: RNAcentral
AGGAUCAUUAAAAGUCAUUAUUUUAUGAAACCCCUUCUGUGUACUUUUUACCUGUUUUUGUCAUCUGGUAGAAUAUAGAGAGUAUUGGAAUUCUCCAGAACCAAAAUGAUUAAACUAUUAUUUACAAUGGUAUUUGUCUGAUUUGUUAUAAAAAAUAAAUGUUAAAACUUUCAACAACGGAUCUCUUGGUUCUCGCAUCGAUGAAGAACGCAGCGAAAUGCGAUAAGUAGUGUGAAUUGCAGAAUUCAGUGAAUCAUCGAAUCUUUGAACGCACAUUGCGCCUUCUAGUAUUCUGGGAGGCAUGCCUGUUUGAGCGUCAUUAAACCCCUCUCAAGUAAGUUUUACUUGGAUGUGAAGGAAGAGUACCUUUAAAUUUUAAGGAGUUCUCCUUUGAAAUUCAUUAGCAGAUGGUAAUGUUAUUAAAACCCCUGAUGUUAUAAAAAAUAACAGUGGUUUUGUAGACUAUUAUCCUAGCUUCAAAUUCAAUUUUUUUUAUUUAUAGUUGACCUCAAAUCAGGUAAGGAUACCCGCUGAACUUAAGCAUAUCAAUAAGCGGAGGAAAAGAAACCAACAGGGAUUGCCUUAGUAACUGCGAGUGAAGCGGCAAAAGCUCAAAUUUGAAAUCUGGCACUAUUUCAGUGUCCGAAUUGUAAUUUAGAGGGACAUUUUCAGGAUCAGCACUAUUCUAAGUUCUUUGGAACAGGACAUCAUAGAGGGUGAGAAUCCCGUGCCUGGGUAGUUGUCUGAUUC